AAAACAAAACAAAACCGUACACACAACAGGAAGGCUGAGGGGACCACCGUCCCUGUACAUGACCCCUGAAUGCUCUUUCCUGUCAGGCUGUGAUGUCCCCUCCUAAGGGGCUCCAGUGGACAGGGACCCAGUUCUAGGACCUUAUCCGGCACACAGAAGUCCGUGGGAAAAUAUCUGACAACGUAAGAAGGACAGAAAAUGAAGAUGCGGACGUGAGACGACAGAAGUUCAGCCGCCUGCACCACCACCCCACUCCGAAACCCCAAAAAGAGAAAGCCAUCACCCUGGAAGUACCCCCACGGAAAGCUCCCAACUCACCAGAAAAGGAUCCGUAAAA
Molecule: long non-coding RNA, 337 nt
Organism: Leopardus geoffroyi (Geoffroy's cat)
Lineage: Eukaryota; Metazoa; Chordata; Mammalia; Carnivora; Felidae
Exons: 3
Source: RefSeq, a predicted model, not a curated record